This is a long non-coding RNA of Daucus carota subsp. sativus, 650 nucleotides long. RefSeq lists it as uncharacterized. The transcript is spliced from 2 exons. The record is from RefSeq and is a predicted model, not a curated record. NCBI's taxonomy places the organism in Eukaryota, Viridiplantae, Streptophyta, Magnoliopsida, Apiales, Apiaceae.
UCUCCUCCUUCACUCUUAUUUUACUAUAUAUAUUAGAAACAAACACCUUCUCUCUCUUUACUUUUUGUAAUAAUGAUACAUUUUAAUGAUAAAUUAUUAUAUAAGAAAUGUUGUUGGAGAUGAGAAUAGCUAUUGAUAUCUUAAGUUACUGGGAUCCAAUAAUUUAUAUUAAAUUUGAGGAAUGAACUAAGAUGUUGUUGGAGUUGUUCUUAUAGUCAUAUGGCUAGUUUCUUCCGGGCGACAUAUUUCUUAGUGUUCACUUUGUUUUUUAAUGUCUUCCUUGAAAAGGUGAUGACCGAUUAAUAGCUCUGCAAGUUCCGCCUUCUGCGGCUUGCGUACAUCACCCUGUAAAUUGACUGUUCACCUGAAUUUGGAAACUGUUACCAGCCAGAAUAUGUUUAUAUGAGCUGCUAGCGUGCUACACACCCAUGUUUACUGAGCAAAUCAAGGCUGGGAAGACCUGACAAACUUCCCAAACUAUAGGAUCGUCCGUGAACUUACUACCAAUUAGUGAUAAAUUCGUGAGUGAAUCUAGCAAAAAACGUAAUUCUGAUUGGUCUUGUAUUUUACCAAUCAAGACAAGCUUUGUGAGACGUCUGCAUGACGAAAGAGGUUUGGCUUUUGAUAGACUUGUUAAAUUUUCUGCUGAA